GGUUUGUCUAAGGCGGGGAGAAAUUACUUGGGAUAAUUUUCGUCGUGCAAUUCGAGGACAGAUCUCUUUUACUGUCUGUUUAACACGAAGAACAGACUGACGAUUUAUGAGUACUGGAAUUGAUCCAGAAUUCGAAGCUGACCCAGAGAUCGAGCGUACAUUUCGCGCAAGGGCACGCUAGAACAGAGCAAGGCAUAGAAGAAUGAAUAUGGCAGAAAACAACAACAAUGAUAAUGUGGCACCCGAAGUAAAUCAAGGGGUGGGCCGGCCAGCGUAAGAUCCCAUUUUUCUUGUCGCUGACUGCAACAUCCCAAUGAGGAACUAUGCGGCGCCCAACCUCUAUGACUUCUCGCCUGGAAUUUCACGUCUGAUAGUUGAAGAGAACGCACGUUUCGAGAUUAAGUCGGUCAUGCUUCAAAUCAUUUAGAAUACGGGGCAGUUCGGUGGUCUACAAGGUGAGGACCCACAUGCCCAUCUGACCAGUUUUGUCGAGAUGUGCGGUAACUUCUCCAUCCCUAGCGUAACCCCAGAAGGUAUCAGACUUUACCUCUUCCCAUACACCUUGAGGGAUGAGGGUAAGAGGUGGGCUCGUUCGUUGGAGCCAAAUGAAAUAAUUUCCUGGGAUCAGUUGGUGGAACGAUUUAUGAAGAAGUUCUUCCCUCUGGCAGUCAACGCAAGAAGACGAAAGGACGUGCUAAACUUUGAGCAGAUGGAUAACGAGACCCUAAGCACCGCCUAGGUGCAAUUUAGAAGAUUGGUGAAGAAUUGUCCGCAUAUCAAGAUACCCGAUUGUGUUCUGAUGGAAAUGUUUUACAACGGCCUGAACAGAUCAAUGUAAGUCGUUGUUGAUGCCUCCGCUGCGGAGGAUUUAUGGAUAAAACAUACACUAAAGCCAAGGUCAUCCUUGACUGCAUCUCGCGGAAUAUGGAUGACUGGGUACAUGACGGGUACGGAGGAAGAGGCUCUGAGAGGAGAAGAAAUGAUAAUGCCAUUGUACCUGUGGAUACAAUGACAACUUUGGCCGUACAGAUGGCCACGGUGACCUCUCUUCUACAAUCGAUGGCAUUUAAUCAAAGUGCCCUCUCCCAAGGAUCAGCACAAUCCAAUGCGCUGGCACAAGUGGCCGUAAUAAGUUGCGUCCAAUGUGGAGGGGGCCAUGUAGUGGAAAUGUGCCCAUCAAACCCGCAGCAAGUGUGUGCUAUCUAGAAUAAUCCGUACAGCAACACUUACAAUCCUUGUUGGAGGAAUCACCCUAACUUCGGUUGGGGAGGAAACCAUAACCAAGGAGGGCCGAGUAACCAUCAGAACAACAACUCCGGGAAUAGAGGAUACCCUCCACCUUUUCACCAAAACCAGAAUCAAGAGCAUCAGAGACAACCGCAAAACCAACCAUCCUCCUCAAACACCUCUGGUAAUUCAUUGGAGUCCCUGCUCAAGCAAUAUAUUGAGAAAAACGAUGUUGUAAUGCAAUCGCAGGCGUCUUCAAUCAGAAACUUGGAGAUCCAAGUUGGGCAACUGGCAGCCGAACUACGUAAUAGAACACCUGGUACUCUGCCAAGCAAUAACGAAGCCCCAGGAUCUCAUGCGAAGGAACAAUGUCCUUGACGAUAUUGUGCAGGCAAGCUUAACUGCCUGUAGAGGUAUGGAUUGCAUUCUUCAUGGGAAAAUGUCUUCCGGUCCAUAUCUCUAAAUUCUAUGUUUAAAUGCUUUCUUAAUUACCUUCUUUAUUACUUUAUGGAUCUUGUUAUUUAAUGCUUUCUUAGAUUUGCUUUUAUUGUUUAUGAAAUUAUCUCUCAUUUAAUUCA
Molecule: non-coding RNA, 1805 nt
Organism: Benincasa hispida (wax gourd)
Lineage: Eukaryota; Viridiplantae; Streptophyta; Magnoliopsida; Cucurbitales; Cucurbitaceae
Source: RefSeq, a predicted model, not a curated record